This 304-nucleotide ribosomal RNA is filed under the name uncultured Comamonadaceae bacterium. RNAcentral's name for it is "bacterial SSU rRNA". It matches the Rfam family "Bacterial small subunit ribosomal RNA", at positions 1 to 309 of the family's 1533-position model. Lineage: Bacteria; Pseudomonadati; Pseudomonadota; Betaproteobacteria; Burkholderiales; Comamonadaceae. The record is from RNAcentral.
CUCGGAGUUUGAUCCUGGCUCAGAUUGAACGCUGGCGGAAUGCUUUACACAUGCAAGUCGAACGGUAGAGGGGGCAACCCCUUGAGAGUGGCGAACGGGUGAGUAAUAUAUCGGAACGUGCCCAGUCGUGGGGGAUAACAUAGCGAAAGUUACGCUAAUACCGCAUACGAUCUACGGAUGAAAGCGGGGUACUCGCAAGAGCCUCGCGCGAUUGGAGCGGCCGAUAUCAGAUUAGGUAGUUGGUGGGGUAAAGGCUCACCGAAGCCGAACGAUCUGUAGCUGGUCUGAGACGGUACGACCAGCC